This 380-nucleotide long non-coding RNA is filed under the name Cyanistes caeruleus (blue tit). Its description in RNAcentral is "lncRNA (ENSCCEG00000004946.1)". Lineage: Eukaryota; Metazoa; Chordata; Aves; Passeriformes; Paridae. The record is from RNAcentral.
UUUAUUUAUUUAUGUAUUUAUGUAUGUAUGUAUUUAUUUAUUUAUUUAUUUAUUAUUAUUAUUAUUAACUUCAGCCUAUGCAAAGUACAAAGUUAUUGACUAACCUGGUACUUUCUCUCUUACAUGUAACCAAGUGCCAUUGAGAAGGGACUACUAAGAGGUUCCAUUGUGUUUUGAUAAACAUCUUGUCUCAAGAACCAGCAUAACUUGAAAUUCAUGGAUACUGGGGAGUCUUAGCUGGGACCACUGAGAUGCAGCCAGGCAGCACAGCAUCUCAGCUGAGAGUGCAGCUCCUCCUUGGACAUCUCUGCUCACCUCAUGUGUUCAUCCUUGUGCAGACAUGCAGCUGCCAGGUAUUGGAGGGCACAGCCCUGGAGCAG